GACAGAGGGUGCAAACGUUGCUCGGAAUCACUGGGCGUAAAGGGCGUGUAGGCGGGAAGGUAAGUCGGGCGUGAAAUCCCUGAGCUCAACUCAGGAACUGCACUCGAAACUACUUUUCUUGAGUGCCGGAGAGGAAAGCGGAAUUCCUGGUGUAGAGGUGAAAUUCGUAGGUAUCAGGAAGAACACCCGUGGCGAAAGCGGCUCUCUGGAACGGUACUGACGCUGAGACGCGAAAGCGUGGGGAGCGAACAGG
This 253-nucleotide ribosomal RNA is filed under the name uncultured bacterium. RNAcentral's name for it is "partial 16S ribosomal RNA". It matches the Rfam family "Bacterial small subunit ribosomal RNA", at positions 524 to 776 of the family's 1533-position model. The record is from RNAcentral.